AUGAUGCAUAGCCGAGUUGAGAGACUGAUCGGCCACAUUGGGACUGAGACACGGCCCAAACUACCUACGGGAGGCAGCAGUAGGGAAUCUUCCACAAUGGACGCAAGUCUGAUGGAGCAACGCCGCGUGAGUGAAGAAGGUUUUCGGAUCGUAAAGCUCUGUUGUUGGUGAAGAAGGAUAGAGGUAGUAACUGGCCUUUAUUUGACGGUAAUCAACCAGAAAGUCACGGGCUAACUACGUGCCAGCAGCCGCGGUAAAU
Molecule: ribosomal RNA, 259 nt
Filed under: uncultured Lactobacillus sp.
Lineage: Bacteria; Bacillati; Bacillota; Bacilli; Lactobacillales; Lactobacillaceae
Description: partial 16S ribosomal RNA
Rfam family: Bacterial small subunit ribosomal RNA
Source: RNAcentral